UACGUAGGUGGCAAGCGUUGUCCGGAUUUACUGGGCGUAAAGAGCGCGCAGGCGGUCGUUCAAGUCGCGUGUGAAAGCCCCCGGCUCAACUGGGGAGGGUCACGCGAUACUGAUCGACUCGAAGGCAGGAGAGGGAAGUGGAAUUCCCGGUGUAGUGGUGAAAUGCGUAGAUAUCGGGAGGAACACCGGUGGCGAAGGCGGCCCUCUGGACCGAAACUGACACUGAAGCGCGAAAGCUAGGGGAGCAAACGGG
Molecule: ribosomal RNA, 253 nt
Filed under: uncultured bacterium
Lineage: Bacteria
Description: partial 16S ribosomal RNA
Rfam family: Bacterial small subunit ribosomal RNA
Source: RNAcentral